RNAcentral lists this small nucleolar RNA (81 nucleotides) under Tortispora caseinolytica NRRL Y-17796. Its description in RNAcentral is "Small nucleolar RNA snR57". It matches the Rfam family "Small nucleolar RNA snR57". From Rfam's summary of the family: snR57 is a member of the C/D class of snoRNA which contain the C (UGAUGA) and D (CUGA) box motifs. Most of the members of the box C/D family function in directing site-specific 2'-O-methylation of substrate RNAs. The record is from Rfam by way of RNAcentral. Lineage: Eukaryota; Fungi; Ascomycota; Trigonopsidomycetes; Trigonopsidales; Trigonopsidaceae.
GACUGAAUGAUUAUAGACAUUUACUGAGGAUGUGCAUGCAGGACAUAUUGUUAAUAAGGAAUUCUUCGUUUAUGACAAGCU